GUGCUUGCUCCAGCAGCACACACACUAAAAUCGGAAGGAUACAGAGAAGAUUAUGGUCCCUGCGCAAGGAUAACAUGCAAAUCCAUGAAGCGGUCCAUACUUUU
This 104-nucleotide small nuclear RNA is filed under the name Moschus moschiferus (Siberian musk deer). The record is from RNAcentral. Lineage: Eukaryota; Metazoa; Chordata; Mammalia; Artiodactyla; Moschidae.